Long non-coding RNA from Coregonus clupeaformis (lake whitefish), 234 nucleotides. RefSeq lists it as uncharacterized. The record is from RefSeq and is a predicted model, not a curated record. The transcript is spliced from 3 exons. Lineage: Eukaryota; Metazoa; Chordata; Actinopteri; Salmoniformes; Salmonidae.
AUUGACCCUAGGCCAAGACAGAGGGUACUGUGAACCUCACCAUGAUUCUACAGGCUCAGCUGGACCACUGUAUGGCUGACCUGUCCCUCCCUGUGCUGAUCCUGGCUGGACUGGGCCUGUCCUCUCCUCCUGGGAUAGGAGGCGCCGUGUUGUUCCCUGGCUGCUGAUGGCCAUGCUGCUACUCUACUCCCUGUUCUUCGCCUGGAGAGCCAACCUGGACACCAGCAGACCCCU